Molecule: long non-coding RNA, 372 nt
Filed under: Ananas comosus (pineapple)
Lineage: Eukaryota; Viridiplantae; Streptophyta; Magnoliopsida; Poales; Bromeliaceae
Description: long non-coding RNA (ACOM_LNC021641)
Source: RNAcentral
AGAAAAAAAAGGAAAAAGAAUUUAAAAAUAAGAUAAUUGGCACACGAAUUUUGAAGCGGUCAUUCGCACGGAGAAUAUUAGUCCAGAUUGUCUCGUGUAAGUUUUAAAAAAAUCUACAGUGUCUACAGUGUCAUACUUGCAUGGAGGAUAUUAGUCCAGAUCGUCUGGCGUAAGUUUUAAAAAAGUCUACCGUGUCAUCGUACUUGCACAACAUUAUUAGUAACAAGCAAAUUAAUUUUUUUAAAAAUAUAUAAUAAAAAUAUUUUUUUAUUAAUUAUGAUGGGACAAAUAAACUCAAAGAGGAUAAUUUUAUUAAUUAAAAAUAUCAUAUCAGCAAUAUAAUUGAUAUAUUCUAAAUUUUUCCUCUGGAUG